Molecule: ribosomal RNA, 468 nt
Filed under: uncultured bacterium
Lineage: Bacteria
Description: partial 16S ribosomal RNA
Rfam family: Bacterial small subunit ribosomal RNA
Source: RNAcentral
GACGAACGCUGGCGGCGUGCUUAACACAUGCAAGUCGAACGGAAAGGCCCUGCUUUUGUGGGGUGCUCGAUUGGCGAACGGGUGAGUAACACGUGAGUAACCUGCCCUUGACUUUGGGAUAACUUCAGGAAACUGGGGCUAAUACCGGAUAGGAGCUCCUGCUGCAUGGUGGGGGUUGGAAAGUUUCGGCGGUUGGGGAUGGACUCGCGGCUUAUCAGCUUGUUGGUGGGGUAGUGGCUUACCAAGGCUUUGACGGGUAGCCGGCCUGAGAGGGUGACCGGCCACAUUGGGACUGAGAUACGGCCCAGACUCCUACGGGAGGCAGCAGUGGGGAAUAUUGCACAAUGGGCGGAAGCCUGAUGCAGCAGCGCCGCGUGCGGGAUGACGGCCUUCGGGUUGUAAACCGCUUUCGCCUGUGACGAAGCGGGAGUGACGGUAAUGGGUAAAGAAGCACCGGCUAACUACGUG